UAAGGGCACCACAAGAACGCGUGGAGCAUGUGGCUUAAUUUGACUCAACGCGGGAAAUCUUACCGGGUCCGGACACACUGAGGAUUGACAGGCAAUAUUAAUUUCUGCAGCUUCGGCUAAAGUUAUUAUGUUAAAUAUGCUAGUCCUUUCAUGAUUAUGUGAUAGGUGGUGCAUGGCCGUUCUUAGUUCGUGGAGUGAUCUGUCUGCUUAAUUGCGUUUCACUAAGGGCCUAUAAAUUACGUGUGUUGCGGUACUUUGACCCCUCUUUUUUCACGAGAAGAGCGCGUGUCUUAGUUUGCUUAGCUCACACAAUUAGGUCCUGAAAGCAACGAACGUGACCGCAACCUCUUGUUGCCUUUAUACCAAACAUGGAUAUUCUCUUCGGAGGGUUUCAUGAAAAAAGGCUUUUUAAACUAGAGGGACCGCUGUUACUUUCUUAAACCAGAGGAAGGUUGCGGCAAUAACAGGUCUGUGAUGCCCUUAGAUGUUCCGGGCUGCACACGUGCUACAAUGAUUAUUGCAGUGAGCAUCUCAUUUUUUACACACCGCAUACGCGAGUCCAUUUAUUCACUCUCGGGUGCUUUAAAUGUGCAUCUCUGCGAGCGGUAAAGCCUGCUUCGAAAGUAAGUGGGUAAUCAAUUAGAAGUAAUGAUUUCCUUUUUUUCUAGCACACAUAUAUACGGCGUUUAUACCCGGGCUGCCUUGUUGUAGCUUUUGUGCGUAUAGAUGUUUUUUCCGUAUGUGCGAUUGUCAAUUCAUGGUGGGGACAGACCAUUGUUAAUUGUUGGUCUCGGUCUUAACUAGGAAUGCCUUGUACGGGUCUUUGGUUCAACAAACCACCCGGAAUACGUCCCUGCCCUUUGUACACACCGCCCGUCA
This 879-nucleotide ribosomal RNA is filed under the name Foraminifera environmental sample. Its description in RNAcentral is "SSU rRNA". It matches the Rfam family "Eukaryotic small subunit ribosomal RNA", at positions 1159 to 1678 of the family's 1831-position model. The record is from RNAcentral. Lineage: Eukaryota; Foraminifera.